AAUGGAUGAUGGCGACCGGCGGAAGGGUGCGUAACGCGUGAGCAACAUGCCCUAUACAGGGAGAUACACCAGGGAAACUUGGUCUAAUAUCCCAUAGCAUUCAUUGAAGGCAUCUUUAAUGAAUUAAAGCUUCGGUGGUAUAGGAUUGGCUCGCGUGACAUUAGCCAGAUGGUGAGGUAACGGCUCACCAUAGCAAUGAUGUCGUUAGGGUUUGAGAGGAACGCCCCACACUGGGACUGAGACACGGCCCAGACUCC
This 257-nucleotide ribosomal RNA is filed under the name uncultured Bacteroidales bacterium. RNAcentral's name for it is "partial 16S ribosomal RNA". It matches the Rfam family "Bacterial small subunit ribosomal RNA", at positions 80 to 339 of the family's 1533-position model. Lineage: Bacteria; Pseudomonadati; Bacteroidota; Bacteroidia; Bacteroidales. The record is from RNAcentral.